GACGAACGCUGGCGGCGUGCUUAACACAUGCAAGUCACGGGGGCCCAGCAAUGGGUAACCGGCGAACGGGUGCGUAACACGUGAGCAACCUGCCGAUCUGAGGGGGAUAGCCGGCCCAACGGCCGGGUAAUACCGCAUACGGUUCUUGAGGGACAUCCCUUGGGAACGAAACCUCCGGGGCAGAUCGAGGGGCUCGCGGCCUAUCAGCUAGUUGGCGGGGUAACGGCCCACCAAGGCGACGACGGGUAGCUGGUCNGAGAGGA
RNAcentral lists this ribosomal RNA (263 nucleotides) under uncultured bacterium. RNAcentral's name for it is "partial 16S ribosomal RNA". It matches the Rfam family "Bacterial small subunit ribosomal RNA", at positions 28 to 300 of the family's 1533-position model. The record is from RNAcentral.